GGGGUUGUGGCUCAGGGGUAGAGUGCUUGCCUGGCAUGUGUGAGGCACUUGGUUCACUCAUCAGUACCUCAUAAAAAUAAAUAAAUAAAGGAAUUGUGUCUGUCUACAACUAAAAAAAAAAAAAAGAAUAAACAGAAGCCAGAUGCCUGUCAUCCCAGCUACUCAG
Molecule: transfer RNA, 166 nt
Filed under: Marmota monax (woodchuck)
Lineage: Eukaryota; Metazoa; Chordata; Mammalia; Rodentia; Sciuridae
Description: tRNA.Ala
Source: RNAcentral